Long non-coding RNA from Brachypodium distachyon (stiff brome), 708 nucleotides. RefSeq lists it as uncharacterized. The transcript has 3 exons. NCBI's taxonomy places the organism in Eukaryota, Viridiplantae, Streptophyta, Magnoliopsida, Poales, Poaceae. The record is from RefSeq and is a predicted model, not a curated record.
UCCAGCCCACGGCCCCUCUCCUUAAAAAAUCUGCCCACGGCCACGGUCCCUUCCCUGAGAAACGGUCCAUCCCUCCCGGGCGACUCUUCCUCUGCCCUCCCAUCUAUCCCCCAAAUCACUUUGGUGGCGGCUCUCCCAUCCCUGAUCUGCUUCCCUCUCCAAUCUCUAUCAUCCCUAAUCCCUAUCCUGGAGCCGCGGCUCGUCGUAGGGGUGGCGAUGGCAGCACACAACAGUGCAGUAGUGGUGGUGGGAUGUUGUCGGUCGUGGUAGGUUCUGGCUGCCGCGACGGCCCAUCGUGAUUCAGAGACGGUGGCUGGGUUUGCAGGAUGGGUGGUAUUCAGAUGACAUGCCAACAAGAAGGAAGUGGUGUACACCGAAAAAGGGUGAACUGGGUUCAAAACGAGAAUAUAUGGCAGGAAUGAUUGUCCUCUACAUGAAAAUUGUUCAAGGUUGAAAGAUUUAACAGUGAUGGAUUAAAUUUGGAUAUCACACGAUAGGUGUGGAGGGGAAAUUGUGGAUUUCAUGUUAGACAUUCAGAGAUGUGGCUCUAAAUAUCAGAAGGAAAAUUCACUGGUAGUUAGUGUAUAAUAUUCUAGACUUAGACCAUGAUUUGUAUCUUUCUCAUGAUCCGUGGUGUACGAAUUAUACAUGUAACUAUGAAUGAUUCUAAUAAUACUCUUUCUCUGGUGAUUUGAUCUGCCGCACAUA